GGAGUCCUACGGGAGGCAGCAGUAGGGAAUCUUCCACAAUGGACGAAAGUCUGAUGGAGCAACGCCGCGUGAGUGAAAAAGGGUUUCGGCUCGUAAAGCCCUGUUGGUAGUGAAGAAAGAUAGAGGUAGUAACUGGCCUUUAUUUGACGGUAAUUACUUAGAAAGUCACGGCUAACUACGUGCCAGCAGCCGCGGUAAUACGUAGGUGGCAAGCGUUGUCCGGAUUUAUUUGGCGUAAAGCGAGUGCAGGCGGUUCAAUUAGGCUGAUUUUUAAACCUUUGG
This 282-nucleotide ribosomal RNA is filed under the name uncultured bacterium. RNAcentral's name for it is "partial 16S ribosomal RNA". It matches the Rfam family "Bacterial small subunit ribosomal RNA", at positions 333 to 607 of the family's 1533-position model. The record is from RNAcentral.